Molecule: ribosomal RNA, 36 nt
Filed under: Prospero autumnale (starry hyacinth)
Lineage: Eukaryota; Viridiplantae; Streptophyta; Magnoliopsida; Asparagales; Asparagaceae
Source: RNAcentral
GGGUGCGAUCAUACCAGCACUAAAACACCGUAUUCC